UGGGGAAUAUUGCACAAUGGGCGAAAGCCUGAUGCAGCAACGCCGCGUGAGUGAUGAAGGCCUUCGGGUUGUAAAGCUCUGUCUUUUGGGACGAUAAUGACGGUACCAAAGGAGGAAGCCACGGCUAACUACGUGCCAGCAGCCGCGGUAAUACGUAGGUGGCAAGCGUUGUCCGGAUUUACUGGGCGUAAAGGAUGCGUAGGCGGAUUUUUAAGUGAGAUGUGAAAUACCCGGGCUUAACUUGGGUGCUGCAUUUCAAACUGGGAAUCUAGAGUGCGGGAGAGGAGAAUGGAAUUCCUAGUGUAGCGGUGAAAUGCGUAGAGAUUAGGAAGAACACCAGUGGCGAAGGCGAUUCUAUGGACCGUAACUGACGCUGAGGCAUGAAAGCGUGGGUAGCAAACAGGAUUAGAUACCCUGGUAGUCCACGCCGUAAACGAUGAGUACUAGGUGUAGGAGGUAUCGACCCCUUCUGUGCCGCAGUUAACACAAUAAGUACUCCGCCUGGGAAGUACGAUCGCAAGAUUAAAACUCAAAUGAAUUGACGGGGUC
Molecule: ribosomal RNA, 549 nt
Filed under: uncultured bacterium
Lineage: Bacteria
Description: partial 16S ribosomal RNA
Rfam family: Bacterial small subunit ribosomal RNA
Source: RNAcentral